Molecule: long non-coding RNA, 862 nt
Organism: Coregonus clupeaformis (lake whitefish)
Lineage: Eukaryota; Metazoa; Chordata; Actinopteri; Salmoniformes; Salmonidae
Exons: 4
Source: RefSeq, a predicted model, not a curated record
AGCUGUUGACUGAGGUAAACAAUGCAAUUGUAUAUACAAUUAUUGCAUAUACUGUAGUCUUUCAAAUUUGUGAUUGACUUAGUGUUGUUGUUUGUCUAUUGCUAUUUUUGUAUAACGUACUUUCAGAUCACUGAAAUCCCACCUGAUGUGGUGGAAGUUGUCGAACCAGAUCAGAACGCCUUCGAGGACCACCUUCAUGGACGGACUGAGAAGGAUGAAGAGGUUUUUGACCAUGUAAAAAGUAUUAUCCGCUGUUAAUUAAUUUUCUGGCCCUUCAAGAGAUAUGUAAGAAAUGUAUUUGUAAUAUGAAAUAUAAUUGCAUUUAUUCCUGUUAUCAAUCAAGGUGAGACUGAACAUGGACAAGGCGCAGGAGAAACAAGAAUCAAGAAGGGGACCAAGUGCUACGACAUCCGGGCGAAUUACUUGGUUUGAAAGAAGAAGGACGAAAGGAAGGCGAGACCUGGGAAACCUCGCUGCUCUUUCGCUCCUAGCUGGGGUCACCAUCUGUUAAAGGUUACCUUGGUGGAAGCCAACAAUCUUCUAGUUGGAGCAGUUGGACGGUCGACCAUUGACGCCCUACACUUCAAUGAAGCCGAAUAGACAAAGACCAUCGACUGUCCGAGCCCCCCAGGAGGUAUCCCAUCCACCAGAACCAGCGAGUUCGGAUCAGUCUGAUUCUCUGUGCUCUGAGAUGGAGGGGGACCAGCUUGAGGAGCAAGGGGUUCUGCCCAACACCCAGACGUGGAUCCACCUGAUGUCCUCCAUUACCAACCACCCUGCAACUUUUCAUUACAUAAUCUACAGCUACUGUUGUUGUCAUUAUCUGCUAAAAAAGUUUUUGCUCUAUCAUACUUGGCACAUA